Molecule: small nucleolar RNA, 138 nt
Filed under: Castor canadensis (American beaver)
Lineage: Eukaryota; Metazoa; Chordata; Mammalia; Rodentia; Castoridae
Description: Small nucleolar RNA SNORA42/SNORA80 family (ENSCCNG00000014089.1)
Source: RNAcentral
UUAUCAACUGAGGAAUUAUGAAGAUGGUCCAUCCUCCAGGGUCUCUCACAGUGUCCCAUGGCAGAAAAAACUGUGGGUCCGAACUAUUGCCUGGCUUCUGCCAUGUAGGCUGCUGGUAUUGAAGUGAGUUGCACAGUG